AGUGAACGCUGGCGGUAGGCCUAACACAUGCAAGUCGAACGGCAGCACAGUAAGAGCUUGCUCUUACGGGUGGCGAGUGGCGGACGGGUGAGGAAUACAUCGGAAUCUUCUUUUUCGUGGGGGAUAACGUAGGGAAACUUACGCUAAUACCGCAUACGACCUACGGGUGAAAGCAGGGGAUCUUCGGACCUUGCGCGAUUGAAUGAGCCGAUGUCGGAUUAGCUAGUUGGCGGGGUAAAGGCCCACCAAGGCGACGAUCCGUAGCUGGUCUGAGAGGAUGAUCAGCCACACUGGAACUGAGACACGGUCCAGACUCCUACGGGAGGCAGCAGUGGGGAAUAUUGGACAAUGGGCGCAAGCCUGAUCCAGCCAUACCGCGUGGGUGAAGAAGGCCUUCGGGUUGUAAAGCCCUUUUGUUGGGAAAGAAAAGCAGCAGGUUAAUACCCCGCUGUUCUGACGGUACCCAAAGAAUAAGCACCGGCUAACUUCG
This 490-nucleotide ribosomal RNA is filed under the name uncultured bacterium. RNAcentral describes it as "partial 16S ribosomal RNA". It matches the Rfam family "Bacterial small subunit ribosomal RNA", at positions 29 to 505 of the family's 1533-position model. The record is from RNAcentral.